GUGAAUCAUCAAAUUUUUGAACGCAAAUUGCGCUUCCUAGGAUCCCGGGAAGUAUGCCUGUUUGAGGGUCAGUAUUAACAAAAAAAUCGGUUUGGUUGCAAAUUGUGACGUUUCCGGAGUUUGGGUUAUCUUAACUUUUUCGGUUAAGGGGCUUAAAAUGGACCUUUCUUGCGCAUUUUUAGACGAACAUAACUUUUUUUUUUAUUCGUCUAUUUCUAAUGCUAA
Molecule: unclassified non-coding RNA, 225 nt
Filed under: Glomeraceae sp.
Lineage: Eukaryota; Fungi; Glomeromycota; Glomeromycetes; Glomerales; Glomeraceae
Description: partial contains 5.8S ribosomal RNA and internal transcribed spacer 2
Rfam family: 5.8S ribosomal RNA (bases 1-71)
Source: RNAcentral